Toxorhynchites rutilus septentrionalis is the source of this 556-nucleotide long non-coding RNA. RefSeq lists it as uncharacterized. The record is from RefSeq and is a predicted model, not a curated record. Lineage: Eukaryota; Metazoa; Arthropoda; Insecta; Diptera; Culicidae. The transcript has 3 exons.
ACCAAAAUUUAUUGUCAUUUAGUAGUGAAAAAAAGCCGUUGAAGUACACCCUCUGUCAAUCUACCUGCGAGAGAGAACGUGUGAAAUAUGGACGUCAAAAGCUGCGCAAAUUGCCCGGAGAACAUGCAAGUCGGACGAAAUUUGCUUGAAGCUGACUCCGAACAAUCUGCAAAAUUCAAAAGCCGUAUUGUUUGUGUCGUCCCCGGAUGUAAGCAGAGAUAUCGCCCCGGAAUUUCUUUUCAUGCCUUCCCUCCGAAAACGGACAAAUCGCGGUAUCUAGACUGGAUCCAACGACUACGGCUAAAGAUAGAACCUACAAAAACCUCCCGUAUUAGUAGCCUCCAUUUUACCGUGUCGAACUUCUACUCUCCAACAACAAGCCGUGCCACUGAUCGCUUAAUUCUUAGGCCAUCAGCAGUUCCCGACUUGAAUUUGCCACAACCUCCCAUCAGCGAAGCCAGGAAAAGACUUAUUGAGGGCCGUGCUGAACGUGCUGCAAACCGUGCCAAAGUUGGGGCAGCGAUGGACCAGAGACAUGAUACACCAAACCUUUCAG